UAUCACUGGUUUUGAUACCCCUAUAUCAGAGACGACUUAUCCUCCACCAUCAAGAAUUACAAUUGAACAAUUAAUCCAAGCAAAACAUACUCUGUUGGUGUAAAGAUAUCUGCUUACAAUUGAAGGUUUGAGUUCAAAGAUCACAACUCAAAGAUCAGCUUUGUGGUCGUCCUUGAUACCCAGGAGUUUACCCAACUUCCCACUCUCAUAUGCUUCAACAGUAUCAUCCGAUCCGCCCAAGUGUUUUCCAUCUAUGAACACUUGAGGUACAGUCCGCCUUCCAAUAAGUGCACUUAGAGCAUCUUG
Molecule: unclassified non-coding RNA, 306 nt
Filed under: Hevea brasiliensis (rubber tree)
Lineage: Eukaryota; Viridiplantae; Streptophyta; Magnoliopsida; Malpighiales; Euphorbiaceae
Source: RNAcentral